GUGCCCGCCGCCGCGGUACUACGUAGGUGGCAAGCGUUGUCCGGAUUUACUGGGCGUAAAGAGCGCGCAGGCGGUCGUUCAAGUCGCGUGUGAAAGCCCCCGGCUCAACUGGGGAGGGUCACGCGAUACUGAUCGACUCGAAGGCAGGAGAGGGUAGUGGAAUUCCCGGUGUAGUGGUGAAAUGCGUAGAUAUCGGGAGGAACACCAGUGGCGAAGGCGACUACCGGGCCUGUUCUUGACGCUGAGGCGCGAAAGAUAGGGGAGCAAACGGGAGGAUAAACCAGCGGCUUAC
This 292-nucleotide ribosomal RNA is filed under the name uncultured bacterium. RNAcentral describes it as "partial 16S ribosomal RNA". It matches the Rfam family "Bacterial small subunit ribosomal RNA", at positions 505 to 799 of the family's 1533-position model. The record is from RNAcentral.